GACGAACGCUGGCGGCGUGCUUAACACAUGCAAGUCGAACGGAAAGGCCCCUUCGGGGGUACUCGAGUGGCGAACGGGUGAGUAACACGUGAGUAACCUGCCCUUGACUUCGGGAUAACUUCAGGAAACUGGGGCUAAUACCGGAUAGGAAUCCUUGCUGCAUGGUGGUGGUUGGAAAGCUUCGGCGGUUUUGGAUGGACUCGCGGCUUAUCAGCUUGUUGGUGGGGUAGUGGCUUACCAAGGCUUUGACGGGUAGCCGGCCUGAGAGGGCGACCGGCCACAUUGGGACUGAGAUACGGCCCAGACUCCUACGGGAGGCAGCAGUGGGGAAUAUUGCACAAUGGGCGGAAGCCUGAUGCAGCAACGCCGCGUGCGGGAUGACGGCCUUCGGGUUGUAAACCGCUUUCAGCAGGGGCGAAGCUUGUGGUGACGGUACCUGCAGAAGAAGCACCGGCUAACUACGUG
RNAcentral lists this ribosomal RNA (465 nucleotides) under uncultured bacterium. RNAcentral's name for it is "partial 16S ribosomal RNA". It matches the Rfam family "Bacterial small subunit ribosomal RNA", at positions 28 to 507 of the family's 1533-position model. The record is from RNAcentral.